GCUUAGCUCAUUCGUUCAAGUUCCAAAAGGAAUCAUACGACCUUUUCACUCACACAACGACUCGCUAAUUAACUGAAUCGUUUAAAGCGGUUCUUCUGAACUUCCUCGUGGAGCAGAACGCAGAAACUUUGUGGACAAAAAUUACAAAAGGAGCGCUGGAUAAAGUAAAUAUUGACCAGCAAUGCAUUGAAAAAACACAAUACGUUUGAUGACAGCGAUGAAGAAGUUAUGAAGUUCAACACCUGCAAGCAACUUGACCACACAGAAGACUCGGAGCAAGACAGAACAGAGAGCGCUUAGAUCACCGGCUCUCUGAAGACACCGGUACGAGCCAAGCUGAGAUGUGCUACCACAGGAGGAGAUAUUUUGAUUAUUCUGAAAGCUUGACAGUUUCAGGUAAAUGCCUGGAGUCAAAAGUCUGGCUAGAUAUUAAAUAUUGGGGGAAAUAUGUUUGUAUGAAGAGCGGCACAAUGGUCAAUUAUGGUGCCUCACAGCAAGAAGGUCACUGGUUUGAGUCCCAGCUGGGUCAGUUGGCAUUUCUGUGUGGAGUUUGCAUGCUC
RNAcentral lists this long non-coding RNA (560 nucleotides) under Danio rerio (zebrafish). Its description in RNAcentral is "lncRNA (ENSDARG00000117267.1)". Lineage: Eukaryota; Metazoa; Chordata; Actinopteri; Cypriniformes; Danionidae. The record is from RNAcentral.